Molecule: long non-coding RNA, 479 nt
Organism: Haliotis rubra (blacklip abalone)
Lineage: Eukaryota; Metazoa; Mollusca; Gastropoda; Lepetellida; Haliotidae
Exons: 4
Source: RefSeq, a predicted model, not a curated record
AUGAGUCCUGCAGCAAGCAUGAUAAGGUGACGUCAGACAGCAAACGUCAAGUACUUCACAGUUUCUCUCAUUCCACAUGUGGUUCAGGUGUCGUGACAGUUAAUACACUACAAAUUGGCCCUGAUCCUAUUGCACUUCCGGGUAGCAUUAAUCUUGCUUUCAAUGUGGAUGUCAAGCAAGAGCUGCAGUCACCGAUCAAGGUUCAUGUGACAGUAUGGAUGAAAAUCCUGUUUGUAUGGGUAAACGUGAGGGAAAUUUCUUAUGAUGCCGCGUGAGUUCUCCUGCAAGACCACAAAUGCCCUCAAGUCUUCGUUGACAACAACAUUUCCUGCAUGUGUCCGGUUACCACAGGUCAUUAUGUCCUUCCAAGAUCCAACUUUCCUGUCCAUGUCCCGUCCAUUCCUGGUGGGCAUUACUGUGCCAGAUUUAAUGUAAACAUGGGCUCAUCAACUGUGUUUUGUGAAGAUGUGUACUUCACA